GAAAUGCGAUAAGUAAUGUGAAUUGCAGAAUUCAGUGAAUCAUCGAAUCUUUGAACGCACAUUGCGCCCCAUGGUAUUCCGUAGGGCACGUCUGUCUGAACGUCAUUAUAAACUCAAGCUAUGCUUGGUGAUGGGGUCGGCUUUGGCCGUCUCCCGCAAUUUGUCGGCGGAGGCCGCCGUGAGCCUAUACGAUGAACAUCUUUAUCGAGCUUUGCGGUGAGCAACCUGCCAAAUGAACUCUACAGCUUGACUUCAGGUCAGACGAGGUUACCCGCUGAACUUAA
This 284-nucleotide unclassified non-coding RNA is filed under the name uncultured Leotiomycetes. RNAcentral describes it as "sequence contains ITS1". The stretch from base 1 to 105 matches the Rfam family "5.8S ribosomal RNA", at positions 50 to 154 of the family's 154-position model. The record is from RNAcentral. Lineage: Eukaryota; Fungi; Ascomycota; Leotiomycetes.